Molecule: ribosomal RNA, 279 nt
Filed under: Triticum aestivum (bread wheat)
Lineage: Eukaryota; Viridiplantae; Streptophyta; Magnoliopsida; Poales; Poaceae
Description: partial small subunit ribosomal RNA
Source: RNAcentral
ACUCAAUCAUGUGCAGAGGGGAAUACCAGGUUAUGCGUCUCCGUUAGAGACUACUACUGUUACAUGUUGCAAACAUGGCCUGCGAUCUUCAAUCCCAUACUCUGUGGAGCACGCCUGCUGCAGCAAUGGGCGGUCGACAUGUACAUCAAGAUUGAGAGUUGUUAGUUGAGGUGCUACAGGAAGAACCAGACGCAGAUUCGUGCCGACUUGUAUAAAGGAGUUGUUGAUGCGAUCACAUCGGGGGAGACGAGAGCAAGCGCUGUUGGCACCCGAAUAGUU